Molecule: long non-coding RNA, 1745 nt
Organism: Neopelma chrysocephalum (saffron-crested tyrant-manakin)
Lineage: Eukaryota; Metazoa; Chordata; Aves; Passeriformes; Pipridae
Exons: 3
Source: RefSeq, a predicted model, not a curated record
CACCCUUGUAUAGUCCCUCUCCAUUUUCUUGUAGCUCCCUUCAGCUACUGGAAGGCUGCAAUUAGGUCACCCUGAAGCCUUCUCUUCUCCUGGCUGAACAAACCCAAUUGUCUCAGCCCUUUUUCACAGGAGAGAAUCCCCUCCCUUGACCUGCUGGCUAUGCUGCUUUUGAUACAGCCCAAGACACAAUUAAUUGGCUUUCUGGGCUGCAAGUGCACAUUGCUGGGUCAUGUCCAGCUUCUCAUCCACCAGCACCCCCAAGUCCUUCUCAGCAGGGCUGCUCUCAUUCUGUUCAUCCCCCGACCUGUAUUGAUAUCAGGGGUUGCCCCCAACCCUGGUGAAGCACAUUGCAGUUGGUCUUGUUGAACCUCAUGAGAGUCCCAUGGACCCACUUCUUCAGCUUGUCCAGAUCCCUCUGGAUGACAUCCUGUCCCCCAGGUGUGGAUUUAAGGCAUUUUUCAGCUUAGGUUCCUCAACAUGCUUCCAGGAUUGUUUGCGUUUGGCAGGACGGAUGGAAAAACAUGUCCUUUUGAAGUCUUGUGUCAGGACCUGCUGCCAGUCUGGAUUUCAGUUCAUGCCGUGUGAUGCCAGGGCACGUGCAGCCAGGUCCGCACAGGCAAAAGGCCCUGAGGUUACCUGGCAUUGCACAGAGAACCUUGCCAGGGCUGAAAUGGUGGCCUUAAAUAUUGAAGUGGCAGAGAGGUACUGAAACUACCUUUACACAUGUGCCCUUCAAAUACUAGCCACCUGUGAAAUAAAGUGUUUCAAGGCCUGGCAGAUAUGAAUAAGUAUUAUACCAGGGAGCCAGGUGCGGCAGCUAUUAAAAACAUUCUGCAGUGAUUGUACUGGCUAACAGCAAAACAACCAAAAAAGCCACUUCCUCAUCCCUCAUGCCAGCCCUGUAGUGCUGGGCUCCCAGACAGCUCCUUUACCGUUGAUGUUAUUUGCCUUUUAAAUUUCAGCAACCCAAACUGCCGAGCGAGGAUCGCGGCUGUGCUGUACGAGGUUGUGUGCCACUGUCAGCAUGACUUAUUUCCAGGCUGCAUGGAGGCAGGGCUCACUGUGUUGUCUGACAAACUGGCUUCAUCCUGAAAGCUGGAGGUGAUCCAGAGCUCUGGUCGUCAAGCUCCUAAGGAGGAAAACCAGGAACAGGGAUGCUGCUGAUACAGGAACCGAAGGAAGCUCAUUCUCCUGGCCACCAGGGGGAGAAAACUGCCACUGCCAUUUGUAAAGCACUCAAAAUCAACUUAAAGACGCACCUAUUUUCUUGCUAAGGCGUUUUGAGACUUAGGUCCAUCAACUGUCUUCCUGAAUUAGUUAUGAGAAAACUAUUCAUUUUAGUUUUUUUCUAAAGUACUGUAAACCCCCCAAUGUAAUACAAUUUUACUUAAUUAACAAAUAUAAUUUAAUUAUUACAUGGAUCAUAUUCUCUCCUUCUCUAAAUGUUGCAUAUUAUCUUAUUUUAAAAUUAAUCCUAUUAUUUUUAAUAGGACUGAGUGCAAAGUAAGAUACAUCUUAACAUGAGUAAGUACAGAAAAAUACUGCUCUAAGUGAAAGGAACAAAUCUAUUCAAAGUAGCUAUGCAGCAUGACACAUACUUGCUUCUUGGCCUCAAAUAAACUCUGAAUAAGAAUAGGAAAGGAACAUAAUGCAUAUAAACGUUGACUUGAUACACAAAGAGAGUGAUGUGAGUUCAAAUUACUUUCAGAAUAAAAGGAAAGAAGAAAUGUGGGGGGGUCACAUUU